RNAcentral lists this ribosomal RNA (465 nucleotides) under Vreelandella stevensii. Its description in RNAcentral is "partial 16S ribosomal RNA". It matches the Rfam family "Bacterial small subunit ribosomal RNA", at positions 338 to 795 of the family's 1533-position model. Lineage: Bacteria; Pseudomonadati; Pseudomonadota; Gammaproteobacteria; Oceanospirillales; Halomonadaceae. The record is from RNAcentral.
CCUACGGGGGGCUGCAGUGGGGAAUAUUGGACAAUGGGGGCAACCCUGAUCCAGCCAUGCCGCGUGUGUGAAGAAGGCCCUCGGGUUGUAAAGCACUUUCAGUGAGGAAGAACGCCUGGUGGUUAAUACCCAUCAGGAAAGACAUCACUCACAGAAGAAGCACCGGCUAACUCCGUGCCAGCAGCCGCGGUAAUACGGAGGGUGCGAGCGUUAAUCGGAAUUACUGGGCGUAAAGCGCGCGUAGGUGGCUUGAUAAGCCGGUUGUGAAAGCCCCGGGCUCAACCUGGGAACGGCAUCCGGAACUGUCAAGCUAGAGUGCAGGAGAGGAAGGUAGAAUUCCCGGUGUAGCGGUGAAAUGCGUAGAGAUCGGGAGGAAUACCAGUGGCGAAGGCGGCCUUCUGGACUGACACUGACACUGAGGUGCGAAAGCGUGGGUAGCAAACAGGAUUAGAUACUCUGGUAGUC